This 115-nucleotide ribosomal RNA is filed under the name Periophthalmus magnuspinnatus. Lineage: Eukaryota; Metazoa; Chordata; Actinopteri; Gobiiformes; Gobiidae. The record is from RNAcentral.
AGCUGCAGCUGCAUGAGGUCAAAGUCUGAUCUUGUCAAAUUUCAGAAGCUAAGCAGAGUUGGGCCUGGUUAGUACUUGGAUGGGAGACUGUUGAGAAUAUUAAGUGCCACAGUGG